GGGGGAGCUUGCUCCCCGCUGACGAGCGGCGGACGGGUGAGUAAUGCAUAGGAAACUGCCCAGUAGUGGGGGAUAGCCCGGGGAAACCCGGAUUAAUACCGCAUACGCCCUUUGGGGGAAAGCAGGGGAUCUUCGGACCUUGCGCUAUUGGAUGUGCCUAUGUCGGAUUAGCUAGUUGGUGGGGUAAGAGCCUACCAAGGCGACGAUCCGUAGCUGGUCUGAGAGGAUGAUCAGCCACAUCGGGACUGAGACACGGCCCGAACUCCUACGGGAGGCAGCAGUGGGGAAUAUUGGACAAUGGGGGCAACCCUGAUCCAGCCAUGCCGCGUGUGUGAAGAAGGCUUUCGGGUUGUAAAGCACUUUCAGUGAGGAGGAAAACCUUACGACUAAUACUCGUGAGGCUUGACGUUACUCACAGAAGAAGCACCGGCUAACUCCGUGCCAGCAGCCGCGGUAAUACGGAGGGUGCAAGCGUUAAUCGGAAUUACUGGGCGUAAAGCGCGCGUAGGUGGUUUGAUAAGCGAGAUGUGAAAGCCCCGGGCUCAACCUGGGAACGGCAUUUCGAACUGUCAGGCUAGAGUAUGGUA
RNAcentral lists this ribosomal RNA (587 nucleotides) under uncultured bacterium. RNAcentral describes it as "bacterial SSU rRNA". It matches the Rfam family "Bacterial small subunit ribosomal RNA", at positions 72 to 653 of the family's 1533-position model. The record is from RNAcentral.